GGAUUGUGGCUCAGUGGUAAAGCACCUGCCUAGCAUGUAUGAGGUGCUGGGUUCGAUCCCCAGCACCA
Molecule: transfer RNA, 68 nt
Filed under: Marmota monax (woodchuck)
Lineage: Eukaryota; Metazoa; Chordata; Mammalia; Rodentia; Sciuridae
Description: tRNA.Ala
Rfam family: tRNA (bases 5-65)
About the family: Transfer RNA (tRNA) molecules are approximately 80 nucleotides in length. Their secondary structure includes four short double-helical elements and three loops (D, anti-codon, and T loops).
Source: RNAcentral